Small nuclear RNA from Pongo abelii (Sumatran orangutan), 104 nucleotides. The record is from Ensembl. Lineage: Eukaryota; Metazoa; Chordata; Mammalia; Primates; Hominidae.
GUACACUUGAGCAGUACAUACACUAAAAUUGGAACAAUGCAGAGAAGAUGAGCACGGCCCCUGCACAGGAUAGCAUACAAAUUCAUGAAGCAUUCCAUCUUUUU